This 1348-nucleotide long non-coding RNA is filed under the name Homo sapiens (human). RNAcentral's name for it is "non-protein coding LINC00461:45". Lineage: Eukaryota; Metazoa; Chordata; Mammalia; Primates; Hominidae. The record is from RNAcentral.
ACUCUCCACUCCGAGGCUCAGGGAGCAAGUGCCUGGCAUGGGGGGUAAAAGUUGGCUUUUUUUUUACUCCUUGGUCUUUUGCGCCCUUCUCCCUCUCCCCAGAAGGGAAGACCCAUUUAAACUAUUUUAGACGCAAUCAACCAAGAAUCACCAUGUGGAAUUGAGCGGCAGUUUUAAAUGUGUUGAGCAGGGGAGAGGAAUGAUGAGAAAAACAUUUUUUUUUUUUUUUUUGGAGACGCCGAAAGAAGCCUGUUUGUGUGCUGCGGCCGUGCUGUGACUUUGGAUCUUGUCUUUCAGCCGGCGCCUCGGUUCCUGCCCAGCUGGAUUUGGGGGGCAGCAUUGCCUGGCGCAGGGAGAUCAAGUGAGUAUCGUGGCGGCCCUCAGGCUGCAGCUCGCCCGCGGCGCGAGGCCAGCAGUGCCCGCCGCGGCCCCGCGCCCGCACUCCUCACCUCGCCCGCUAGCCGGUGCCCGCAGAGUCCCGCUGCGGGCCGCUCCGAGGGCCAGUCCGGGGCUUUGCUUCAGCUAAUUGAUUGUGUGCCUCGGAUGUUAAACCUGUUGAUCUCGUGAGUUUUCUUAGCCAGUACUGUUAAUUAUCCAGCGGCUUGACCCCCAAUCGCAGAGAGAUGCCAGGAAAUCUUCGCGUUGGAAAAGGGAAUUUUUAUGAGACUGCAAAGAAGCAUAAAAUGAAUAGACAAUCCAACCAACCAAAGACCGGGGGCAGCAGCAGGCCAGCAAGACGGCAUCUUCUCCUUCCCAGCCUAGAAGCCCUGUGAAAUCGAGGAUCUUCCCCCUAAAACACAUACACACAAGAUAUGUGCAAUCAAGCUGCCACCGCUUGGUAAAAAGCCAUGGUGCCUAACCAAAAAGGAUCAGGAACAGAUCCUUGAAUCAGCUGUCACUUCUAUAGAAUGGGAUUUUUUUUUCCUUCCUCCUUAACCUGCGCUGGAAAUUGCCGUUGGCUUUAUACAUCUCUAUAGAGAGAGGCUAAAGAGUCUUGCGUGAGAAAGAAGCAAUUUACAAUGCAAAUAGAGGCCUGUGAAGGGACGGAUGCUGCUGCUCACUCGUAACAGCUUGCUGCACCUUAAUAGCUGGUUUUAUUUUCUGAUAUUAAUAGAUGAAUUGUUGGCUAACGCUGCCGGAGAUUACUUGCUGAAAGGAAAAAGAAAAGUUCGGAAUAAACUCUGAAGGCAACAGAUCUCGUUUGGAUGUUUUAGCCGCGCACACACACAAACAGAAACCAGGUCAUAUUUACAUAAAAGGAGGAAUCUUAAGCGCGGCAAGUAUCCUGGACGACCACUCUUCGGUACUGCCAGAAAGGAUCAGGACCUGGAGUCUGGCAAGAGGAAGA